This is a non-coding RNA of Stegodyphus mimosarum, 73 nucleotides long. NCBI's taxonomy places the organism in Eukaryota, Metazoa, Arthropoda, Arachnida, Araneae, Eresidae. The record is from Rfam.
GCUUUCGUGGUGUAGUGGUCAGCACACUCGACGCGUAACCGAGAGAUCCGUGGUUCGAUUCUGGGAGAAGGCU